CUCCGUCAAUUCCUUUGAGUUUUAAUCUUGCGACCGUACUCCCCAGGCGGUCAACUUCACGCGUUAGCUGCGUUACCAAGAAGUUUCCUUCCCGACAACUAGUUGACAUCGUUUAGGGCGUGGACUACCAGGGUAUCUAAUCCUGUUUGCUCCCCACGCUUUCGUGCAUGAGCGUCAGUGUUAUCCCAGGAGGCUGCCUUCGCCAUCGGUAUUCCUCCACAUCUCUACGCAUUUCACUGCUACACGUGGAAUUCUACCUCCCUCUGACACACUCUAGCCUUGCAGUCACAAGCGCAGUUCCCAGGUUGAGCCCGGGGAUUUCACGCCUGUCUUACAAAACCGCCUGCGCACGCUUUACGCCCAGUAAUUCCGAUUAACGCUCGCACCCUACGUAUUACCG
RNAcentral lists this unclassified non-coding RNA (400 nucleotides) under uncultured fungus. RNAcentral describes it as "sequence contains ITS1". Lineage: Eukaryota; Fungi. The record is from RNAcentral.